AACCACGGUUAACCAUACGAUCGCCGAAGUUAAGCAACGUCGAGCAUAAUCAGUACUUGGAUGGGUGAUAGCUUGGGAAUGUCAGGUGCU
Non-coding RNA from Acanthosepion pharaonis, 90 nucleotides. The record is from the annotation of a GenBank genome assembly. NCBI's taxonomy places the organism in Eukaryota, Metazoa, Mollusca, Cephalopoda, Sepiida, Sepiidae.